AAAAUAGCUCACUGGUCGAGUGCCCUUGCGCCGAAAAUGUAACCGGGACUAAGUGUGAUACCGAAGACACGGAUUCGUAGCAAUACGAGUGGUAGAAGAGCGUUCCUUCAUCCGAUGAAGAUAUACCGUAAGGAGUAUUGGAGGAGUAGGAAGUGAAGAUGCCGGCAUGAGUAGCGAUAAAAGGGGUGAGAUUCCCCUUCACCGAUAGCCUAAGGUUUCCCCGGGAAGGUCAAUCCGCCGGGGGUUAGUCGGUCCCUAAGAUGAGGCUGAAGAGCGUAGUCGAUGGGAAGCAGGUUCAUAUUCCUGCACUGAAUUGUUUGUGCGAUGGAGUGACGGAGGAAGAUAGUUUGUGCGGACAGAUGGUGUCCGUUCCUGAUUAUAGGCGUUGAGAUUCGUAGGAAAAUCCGCGAGUUGAGCUGAAGAUUGGGGGGAUUCUGAUUUAGGUCAGAGGUAGUAAACGACUAUAGGCUCCCAAGAAAUAACUUCUAAGUUUAGUACAAUUCAACCGUACCGCAAACCGACACAGGUAGGCCAGUAGAGAAUACUAAGGUGCUCGAGAUAACUCUCGUUAAGGAACUCGGCAACAUACUCCUGUAACUUCGGGAUAAGGGAGCCCUCAGCAAUGAGGGGGCACAUAAAUGGGGGUAGCGACUGUUUACCAAAACACAGGACUCUGCAAAAUCGGAAGAUGAAGUAUAGGGUCUGACACCUGCCCGGUGCUGGAAGGUUAAGAGGACUUGUUAGCAGCAAUGCGAAGCUCGGAAUCGAAGCCCCAGUAAACGGCGGCCGUAACUAUGACGGUCCUAAGGUAGCGAAAUUCCUUGUCGGGUAAGUUCCGACCUGCACGAAUGGUGUAACGACUUCCCCACUGUCUCAACGAGAGUCUCGGCGAAAUUGUAGUACCCGUGAAGAUGCGGGUUACCUGCGAUAAGACGGAAAGACCCCGUGAACCUUCACUGUAACCUGGCAUUGAAUUUUGGUUCAUCAUGUGUAGGAUAGGUGGGAGACUAUGAAACCUGGCCGCUAGGCUGGGUAGAGUCGACGUUGAAAUACCACCCUUGCUGAACUCGAAUUCUAACCUGCGUCAACAAACGCGGAGACAUUGUCAGGCGGGCAGUUUGACUGGGGCGGUCGCCUCAUAAAGCGUAACUGAGGCGCCCAAAGGUCUUCUCAGCGCGGACGGAAAUCGCGCAAAGAGUGCAAAGGCAAAAGAAGGCUUAACUGUGAGACAAACAAGUCGAUCAGGUACGAAAGUAGGGCUUGGUGAUCCGGUGGUUCU
This 1279-nucleotide ribosomal RNA is filed under the name metagenome. RNAcentral's name for it is "bacterial LSU rRNA". It matches the Rfam family "Bacterial large subunit ribosomal RNA", at positions 1134 to 2430 of the family's 2925-position model. The record is from RNAcentral.